This 468-nucleotide ribosomal RNA is filed under the name uncultured bacterium. RNAcentral's name for it is "partial 16S ribosomal RNA". It matches the Rfam family "Bacterial small subunit ribosomal RNA", at positions 28 to 507 of the family's 1533-position model. The record is from RNAcentral.
GACGAACGCUGGCGGCGUGCUUAACACAUACAAGUCGAACGGAAAGGCCCUGCUUUUGUGGGGUGCUCGAGUGGCGAACGGGUGAGUAACACGUGAGUAACCUGCCCUUGACUUUGGGAUAACUUCAGGAAACUGGGGCUAAUACCGGAUAGGAGCUCCUGCUGCAUGGUGGGGGUUGGAAAGUUUCGGCGGUUGGGGAUGGACUCGCGGCUUAUCAGCUUGUUGGUGGGGUAGUGGCUUACCAAGGCUUUGACGGGUAGCCGGCCUGAGAGGGUGACCGGCCACAUUGGGACUGAGAUACGGCCCAGACUCCUACAGGAGGCAGCAGUGGGGAAUAUUGCACAAUGGGCGGAAGCCUGAUGCAGCAACGCCGCGUGCGGGAUGACGGCCUUCGGGUUGUAAACCGCUUUCGCCUGUGACGAAGCGUGAGUGACGGUAAUGGGUAAAGAAGCACCGGCUAACUACGUG